RNAcentral lists this ribosomal RNA (405 nucleotides) under uncultured Terrimicrobium sp. Its description in RNAcentral is "bacterial SSU rRNA". It matches the Rfam family "Bacterial small subunit ribosomal RNA", at positions 355 to 774 of the family's 1533-position model. The record is from RNAcentral. Lineage: Bacteria; Pseudomonadati; Verrucomicrobiota; Terrimicrobiia; Terrimicrobiales; Terrimicrobiaceae.
UCGAGAAUUUUUCACAAUGGGGGAAACCCUGAUGGAGCGACGCCGCGUGGAGGACGAAGGCCUUCGGGUCGUAAACUCCUGUCAUGCGGGAACAAGAAAGUGAUAGUACCGCAAGAGGAAGAGACGGCUAACUCUGUGCCAGCAGCCGCGGUAAUACAGAGGUCUCGAGCGUUGUUCGGAUUCAUUGGGCGUAAAGGGUGCGUAGGUGGCGAUGUAAGUCUGGUGUGAAAUCUCGGAGCUCAACUCCGAAAUUGCAUUGGAUACUGCGUUGCUUGAGGAUUGUAGAGGAGAGUGGAAUUCACGGUGUAGCAGUGAAAUGCGUAGAUAUCGUGAGGAAGACCAGUUGCGAAGGCGACUCUCUGGGCAAUUCCUGACACUGAGGCACGAAGGCCAGGGGAGCAAACG